CCAUCUCUUCCUUUCACAUAGCUAAGCUCUAACUAGAGAACCCGCUGAGAAAUCCCACACAACUCUGGCCGGCGUGGGGGUUUAUUUUGUAGGUUUCCCCUUCUGGUAGGUCACAAUAUUUUUAAAUUUUUGCUCUUUUUACUUCUUUUUCCUCACUUUCAACUGUGAUUGGCGUAGCAAUUUAUCUCUUUAAGCCCUAAAAAAUAUCUAAAAAUUUAAUCUUGAUUACUGAUUUCUUGCAUUUUGCUUUUAAUUUUAUGGAUAGUCUUCUUGAAGAUUUAAAAUAAAAAUAAGUAGAAAUAUGGGUCUAUUUAUUUACUUAUAAAUUUGGGCUGCUAUUCGAUGUGGGUAAACAUUUCUCAUGGAUGUGUUAAUUUUUGUUGAAUCUUGUUGCUGGUAUAUUUCUAUCAAAAGUUUUAAGAUUUAAGUAAUAGAAGACUACUCCCAUAUUUAUCUUGUAUUUUUAAUUUCUGGUGGGUUGGAGUGUGUGGUUUGGAUUCUUAAUUUAUUUGCUCAGACCUAUAGGUGUGAGGUGUGUUUCUGUAUUUUCUAUAUUUAGUUGUAGUUUUUUGUUUGAAGACAAUUCCUUCGUAGAACAUUGGAGGUAUAUUCUUAUUUAUUUGCUAUUACAUCUCUUGAACAGUAAGGUUUCAUUCAAUCUCGUGAUUUGGUAAAAAAAUACAAUUUGAUUACUUCUUAUUUUAUUUAUUCCAGAAGCUUUGAUCCAUCACUAGUUUUUCAAUUUGUAAUUUUUUAAUUUAAUUAUAAUCUUAAGUGACCUCUUUGAACAGUCUUUUGAACUGUGUUUUUGUUUCAUCUUUAGCCUUAAUGGCUGAAUAAUGAGAAUUGAGAAGUAAUUAUAAGUUAUAUUUCUCAAGGAUGCUUCUUCUUUAUAAUUAGAUGACUUAGGUUACUGGUGCUCUGUUGUGUUGUGUAUACCAUAUAAAAUAGGUAAUAGACUAAUUUGUCUUCAUUCUACAGUUCAUUCGGUCAAGUUAGGAUGAAGAUUCUUCUUUGUUAAGUUUUGUGGUGAUGUAGUAUUUUAUGGUUGUGUUGUGGUGUUUGAAUGCUCUGUAAUAUCAUACUUUCUAGUAUGACUCAAAAUAUGUUCUAUCUACUAUUCAUCUUAAUAAGCAAAAUAAUCCUGCCUGAAUUCUAAGUAUAGGAAAAUGAGUAUCCAAUGCAAGACAUUGUUUCUUUUCUUCUGCUUCUUAGCUUCGUGAUUUACUUUUGCUGUUAUAUUAGAUAUUCAAUAGUUAAUGGAUAAUGGAGAUAAAAGUUGGAUGGGUCUCCGAAUAUCAAUGUAGGAGUACAUCUACGGAGUUAGCGAUUUUCUUGAUAAGGCAUUUUAACGAGCUGCCCAAGGAAAUGAAAUAUUAUGCCCUUGCAAAAAAUGCGUUAACUGUUAUUAGCAUUAUAGAAAUAUAGUGGAGGAUCACUUGGUUGCCUAUGGGUUUCUUACUGGAUACACCAAAUGGAUUUUUCAUGGGGAAAAUUUUUCCUCAAGAAAUACUCUACGGUCAAGCAAUGAUGAGGAUGAUUCUAACAUGCAUGGCGAUAUUGAUGGACUACUUCAUAAUACUUUUAGAAAUAUAGAGGGUGAAGUGAGAGGGACCAUCUGAAGAUGCAAAGAAAUUUUUUAAAUUACUAGAGGAAGGGAAGCAAGAGUUAUACCUGGGGUGUGCGAAUUUCUCUAAAUUAAGUUUCACCAUUCUAUUGUACUUGUUUAAAUGCAUUCAUGGAUUAAGUAAUGCGGCCUUUUCAGACUUGUUAGACUUGUUAAAAGAGGCAUUUCUAUUUGCUCAGCUACCUGGCUCUUUCAACAAGGCUAAAAACAUAAUUCAAGAUUUGGGUCUUCUCUAUGAAAAAAUACAUGCAUUCCCAAACGAUUGCGUGCUAUUUUGGAACGACAAUGUGAUGAUAGAUAAUUGCACUGUGUGUGUGUAACGACCCAACUGGUCGUUUUGCCUUCUAGAACCCUGUUCCUCUAAAUAAGAUUUUCCAUAUGUGCUUUUACAGUUUUAUGACUUGUGGGGAUGGUUAGUUCAGGAUUUUAAAGGGUUCGGGUUGAGAUCGGAACACUUGGUUCCUUAGUUUGACUUUAAAAAGGUAAGUUUGACUUCGAUCAACGUCUUGAGUAAACGAUCCCGGAAUCGGGAUUUGACGGUUCCAAUAGGUUCGUAUGAUGAUUUUUGACUUGGGCGUAUGCUCGAAUUGAGUUUUGGAUAACCCGGGAGCGUUUCAACGCUUAAUAAUAAAAGUUGACUAUUUGAAGGUUUUAAGGUUCUUUAAAUUUGGGCUGGAGUAGGUUUUGGAGUAAUUGAGGUCUGUUUGGAAUUCUGAGCCUGAAAAUCAUCCCGUACGGUGAUUUAAGCCUUACACGCAAAAUUUAAUGUCAUUCCGAAUAGUUGAAGUAUGAUUUGGCACGUUCGGAGUAAGUUUGAAAAACUUGAAGUUCAUGAGUUGAAUCAAUUUGGUUUGGGGUAUGAUUCUUAGUUUUUAUGUUGUUUUAUGCAUUUCGAGGGUUCAAGCGAGUCCGUUUUAUGAUUUCAAACUUGUUGGUAUGUUCAGGAGGGGCCCCGGGUGUUAACCGGACGAGGCUCGGACCAAGUUUGGACUUAGGAGCAAUUGCUGAAGCUUCCAACUUCUAGUGUAACCGCACCUGUGCAUGGACAGAUGCAAGUGCGAGCUCGCAAAAGCGAGCAAGAAGCCGCAAAAGAGGUCUAGUGGGGGCAACUCGGAAUCCACAGGAGCAGAGUUAUUGGGCGCACCUGCGGGCGCGCAUGAGCGAUGGAGGAAGCCGCAGACCAAGCAGCAUACACGUCGCGAAAGCCGCAGAAGCGGACAUGCAGAAGCGGAAAAAUAGUCCUUAGGUGCGGAUUUUGGCUCAACUGGAGGAGACUACAUCUGCAAGGAUUUUUCCACAGUUGUGGGGCCGCAGAAGCGGCCGUACCUCUGCAAGUGCGAAAAUCACAGAAGGCAAAACCUUCAUUUAAGUCGGGGUUUGAGUAUUUGUAGUCCAUUUUCUCCAUUCUUUGCGAUUUUUGGAGCUUCUUGAGAGUGGUAUUCAUCUAGCAACCUGGAGGUAAGUUUAUUCUACCUAUUGUGAGUUAAAUACAUAGAUUAUGGGUAUAUUCUAACUUGUAAAAUGUGAAAAUUAAGGGUUUAGAUGAAAAAUCUAGGUUUUGAUAAAAAUGAAAUUUUUACCACGAAAAUGGUUAUGGAAUGGGAUGAAAAUUGUAUACUUGAGUUUUAAGAUUGUGGGUAACGAUUUUCUCCGAAAAUUUAUGAAAUCUGGGUACGUGGG
Molecule: long non-coding RNA, 3307 nt
Filed under: Nicotiana tabacum (common tobacco)
Lineage: Eukaryota; Viridiplantae; Streptophyta; Magnoliopsida; Solanales; Solanaceae
Description: long non-coding RNA (NTAB_LNC010821)
Source: RNAcentral